RNAcentral lists this small RNA (175 nucleotides) under Bacillus phage vB_BveP-Goe6. RNAcentral describes it as "pRNA". The stretch from base 4 to 121 matches the Rfam family "3WJ core of Phi29 Bacteriophage pRNA". Rfam says of the family: The packaging of DNA into the procapsid requires a molecular motor which using ATP as energy to accomplish the energetically unfavourable motion. The record is from RNAcentral. Lineage: Duplodnaviria; Heunggongvirae; Uroviricota; Caudoviricetes; Salasmaviridae.
AUCAAUGGUACGGUACUUCCAUUGUCAUGUGUAUGUUGGGGAUUAAACCCUGAUUGAGUUCAGCCCACAUACUUUGUUGAUUGGUUGUCAAUCAUGGCAAAAGUGCACGCUACUUUGAUAACCUUUUACAUGCGACACAGACGAAGCGCUAAAACGUGGGAUUCUGUGUCGUUUU